GCGCUGCGCGCCGGCCCUCUUCUUUCUGGGUGACUGGGCUUCCUCGGCGGGGAGCAAAAUGGGGUUCGAGCUGGAACUGAGAUAGCCAGGGGCAGGCACUUGGUUGAAGCAAACAGCCCCCUUCCUGCCUGGUGUACAUGCCCACCAGGUGGCUCUGUUUGAGGGUCCGGCCCCUCGUUAAUUCCGAUGUUAUUCAGCCAAGUACCUACUCCCGCAAUGCUAAUCUGAACUGCUACUAUUUUAGGAUUCUGCCCAAGGAAGGGCGCUGUGUAUCGAGAAAAGGGUGCUAGGCAUCACAUUUAGCUGUCCCCUUCUAAUCAGUGGCAGCCUGAUUGAUGGAGAAAAAGGAACUUUCUAUAUGCCUAGAUUUUAAAAGAUAUUUUUGAGCUGUACAAAUUGAAUUUUUAUUAGAGGAAAAGGGAGUCUGUGGCAUUUUUGAUAACCACUAGUCAAUUCCAUUGCUAUCCUCAGUAAAACAAUUGGAAUUUGGCUCUUGGAACCUUUACAAGUGUUUCUGACUGAGAUCAUCCCUGGGGAGGCUCAAAAAAUUUGUGUGAUGGAGGAAGAGGCAGUCUGACCCCUUAUUUCAGAGGGUCAGGAGGCUGUGUCUUAGAGAAGUGAAGUGAUCUCUCCAGGGCCACACAGCUGUAGGUGGCAUAGCUAAGUCAACCUCACAUCUGUUGGCUCCACUAUAAAAUGAUGCUGUCUCAUUUGUUUUUUAGCCUUUGUUUUACUUCAGCUCUCAUAAGGAAUGAGCUCAUGAUUAUUCCACUUUAGUGAGUAUCCUUGUCAAAGGCAUGUUAAAAAUUUAAAUAAAUUCUUGGUGCAGAUCCUC
Long non-coding RNA from Manis pentadactyla (Chinese pangolin), 835 nucleotides. RefSeq lists it as uncharacterized. The transcript is spliced from 2 exons. The record is from RefSeq and is a predicted model, not a curated record. NCBI's taxonomy places the organism in Eukaryota, Metazoa, Chordata, Mammalia, Pholidota, Manidae.